UUUAGCAUUUAAAACGUGAGUAUAAAUAGCGCGAGCUGCAGUGUGCCGGCAUCAUUCAGUGGUGCAGUACUUACUUACCGCGCGGCAGAGUCGACGAGUCCCGCACAAGAUGAAGUCGUGCACAAUAUUGUUCCUGCUCAUUGUCGCACUCUGUGCUUGCGAUGAUUUGGGAUCCAAGAGCAAUGAUAAUGAUGGUGUUGACUCUGAACGUUUUAAAAACCCGAGUUUAAGUUCUAUUGAUAGUGUGAUUAACGGAACCAUUCCUUCUUAUGGUCUACAACCUGUAUUUACUAGCUUGUCGCUCAGGCAAAUUGAGGAUAAUUAUGGAAAGCCAAAAUAAAACAAGACCAAAUCGGAAAUCGAUCCACCAAAAUAGAUAAUCAGAAAUCGACUACUAAUUUUACAAGUUUCAAAGUCAACUUCUUCAUCGCCAUCACAUCGAGCACAAGCCGUCCACUGCUGAACAUACGCCUCCCCCAAUGGCUCGAGCGGUCGGUUGGAAGCGGCCUGCAUCCAGCGGCUCCCUGCGACUGCGUCAGGUUUUAAUCUUGCUUACACGCCCAGUAAACGUGUUACUGUAACGUUAUCAAUAAACAUUAACCAGCUGC
This is a long non-coding RNA of Spodoptera frugiperda (fall armyworm), 608 nucleotides long. RefSeq lists it as uncharacterized. Lineage: Eukaryota; Metazoa; Arthropoda; Insecta; Lepidoptera; Noctuidae. The record is from RefSeq and is a predicted model, not a curated record. The transcript has 2 exons.